UCAGCUUUGCAUCUACUAAAAAUGGUCCAAUGUGAUGACAUUUUUUUAUAUCACUUCUAUAUUUAAUUCUAGAGUCUCGUCAUCUGGAAGCAGCAUGGGCAGGUGCAAGUGAAUGAAAUAACAGCUCCAGGGGGUUUUCCUAAUUUAUCUUUUUUAAUAUUGCCUGCCAUUUGUAUUUAUAACCAAUUCAAGAACUUCUGGUUUUAUAGUCAAUGCCUUUUGGGAUGUUUCUGGGAUUUCAUAUCAAAAGAACUCUUUGAAGGACAAAAUGGAAUAUUCUACUGCAGACAAGGUUAUUACCUGAAAUGUUUGUUUGUAUGUGAGAGAAAAACAGCUUUAUAGAAACACAAACUGAUAUCCUGAAUGUCAGCAGUAAGAAGAGAAAGGACAUCUGUGCUUCAGACAUCCUGUGACUGUGGUGGCAAUAAUUCAUUACAAACAAUUGAGAGCUGCAGAAAAUCACCUAAGGAGGACAGCCUGUGACGACCAAAAUCUCCUGACCUUGACACUGGAGUGAUUCCCUUGCAGGUGACCAGCACCAGCAUCUUGCUUCCAUCACUUCUCUCCUCUGACAGUGUUUAGGCCCUUUUCAAUAGCAGCCCAUGGGUGGGCAGAUUGUCUACUAAAACAGACUGAGAGCAUGAAGGUUUACCCUGCACUGCCUUUGGGAGAAGUGGCCAUGCCCAGGAUCGAAGCCAUGGUGCCACCCAAACCUCUGGUGAUCCUGAGAUGUCACCCCUGACAUACAGUUUGGUGCUGCAUGAGAUUGCUUCUGGGAUGCUUCUGUAGCUUUUGGCUCUGGCUAAAUAACAGUAGAGGUCCCAAUAGCAGGAGUCAUAUGACCAUGCUCUUGUGCACUUGUGAAUGGAAAAUCAUGUGUCUUCAUAAAUCACAGGCAUAUAAAGACCAGAUGUGAUGUUCAGAACUCCCACAUAUUCACAUGAGAAUGGGCCAAUGCUAGCAAAGGAGAAUUAUCUGCGCUGUGUGUUUUACUUUGCUUUA
Long non-coding RNA from Vidua chalybeata, 1002 nucleotides. RefSeq lists it as uncharacterized. The record is from RefSeq and is a predicted model, not a curated record. The transcript has 4 exons. NCBI's taxonomy places the organism in Eukaryota, Metazoa, Chordata, Aves, Passeriformes, Viduidae.